This 69-nucleotide transfer RNA is filed under the name Bryobacteraceae bacterium. RNAcentral's name for it is "tRNA-Ser". It matches the Rfam family "tRNA". From Rfam's summary of the family: Transfer RNA (tRNA) molecules are approximately 80 nucleotides in length. Their secondary structure includes four short double-helical elements and three loops (D, anti-codon, and T loops). Further hydrogen bonds mediate the characteristic L-shaped molecular structure. tRNAs have two regions of fundamental functional importance: the anti-codon, which is responsible for specific mRNA codon recognition, and the 3' end, to which the tRNAs corresponding amino acid is attached (by aminoacyl-tRNA synthetases). tRNAs cope with the degeneracy of the genetic code in two manners: having more than one tRNA (with a specific anti-codon) for a particular amino acid; and 'wobble' base-pairing, i.e. permitting non-standard base-pairing at the 3rd anti-codon position. The record is from RNAcentral. Lineage: Bacteria; Pseudomonadati; Acidobacteriota; Terriglobia; Bryobacterales; Bryobacteraceae.
GAGCGAGGAGGUCCUUUCGGCUGACUCUUAAUCAGUAGGUUGGAGGUUCGAUUCCUCCCGCGCUCACCA